GUAAAUAUAGUUUAAAAAAACCGUCAGACUGUGAAUCUGAAGAUAGGACAUAAUCAUCCUUAUUUACC
This 68-nucleotide transfer RNA is filed under the name Stenocranius gregalis (narrow-headed vole). Its description in RNAcentral is "tRNA-His". It matches the Rfam family "tRNA". From Rfam's summary of the family: Transfer RNA (tRNA) molecules are approximately 80 nucleotides in length. Their secondary structure includes four short double-helical elements and three loops (D, anti-codon, and T loops). Lineage: Eukaryota; Metazoa; Chordata; Mammalia; Rodentia; Cricetidae. The record is from RNAcentral.